RNAcentral lists this ribosomal RNA (253 nucleotides) under uncultured bacterium. RNAcentral's name for it is "partial 16S ribosomal RNA". It matches the Rfam family "Bacterial small subunit ribosomal RNA", at positions 524 to 776 of the family's 1533-position model. The record is from RNAcentral.
CACGUAGGGGACGAGCGUUGUCCGGAUUCAUUGGGCGUAAAGAGCUCGUAGGCGGCUUGUCGCGUCGUCCGUGAAAACCUGCAGCUCAACUGCAGGCUUGCGGUCGAUACGGGCAGGCUGGAGUUCGGUAGGGGAGACUGGAAUUCCUGGUGUAGCGGUGAAAUGCGCAGAUAUCAGGAAGAACACCCGUGGCGAAAGCGGCUCUCUGGGACGGUACUGACGCUGAGACGCGAAAGCGUGGGGAGCGAACAGG